Non-coding RNA from Cordylochernes scorpioides, 73 nucleotides. The record is from the annotation of a GenBank genome assembly. Lineage: Eukaryota; Metazoa; Arthropoda; Arachnida; Pseudoscorpiones; Chernetidae.
GCAUCAGCCAACAGUGGACAUGGCACCUGCCCGGUAAGCAGAAGGUUGUGGGUUCGAUUCCCGCCCCUGGACA